GACGAACCGUGCGAACGUUGUUCGGAAUCACUGGGCCUAAAGGGCGCGUAGGCGGGCUGUCCAGUCUGGGGUGAAAUGCCGCGGCUCAACCGUGGAACUGCCUUAGAUACUGACGGCCUCGAGGAAGGUAGGGGCAUGCGGAACUGUAGGUGGAGCGGUGAAAUGCGUUGAUAUCUACAGGAACUCCGGUGGCGAAAGCGGCGUGCUGGACCUUUUCUGACGCUGAGGCGCGAAAGCUAGGGGAGCAAACGGG
This 253-nucleotide ribosomal RNA is filed under the name uncultured bacterium. RNAcentral describes it as "partial 16S ribosomal RNA". It matches the Rfam family "Bacterial small subunit ribosomal RNA", at positions 524 to 776 of the family's 1533-position model. The record is from RNAcentral.